UUUUCGGUUCCUCUCUACCCUGAGAAGUUGUUAAGAAAUCACUAUAAUCAUUGGUGUGGCCGGAGUGACAAUCACUUUGGCAACGAGGCAGGAAGUAGAGAGAGAUGCUGUCCUCUGAGAUUUGGACUUCAACUAGUGGAGCCCCUGAAGGAGAAUGAGAAGGGUCACAUUUGUGUUUUGGGCAAGAUCUGUUCUGGAAGUCCUGUGAAGAAUGGAUUGGAAAAUAAUGAGAGUGGAAAGAAGAUGGGUGUGCCUCCCACCCCCACCGCUGCUGGAAAC
This 279-nucleotide long non-coding RNA is filed under the name Homo sapiens (human). Its description in RNAcentral is "HSALNT0214840". The record is from RNAcentral. Lineage: Eukaryota; Metazoa; Chordata; Mammalia; Primates; Hominidae.